RNAcentral lists this long non-coding RNA (419 nucleotides) under Penaeus japonicus. Its description in RNAcentral is "uncharacterized LOC122247468". Lineage: Eukaryota; Metazoa; Arthropoda; Malacostraca; Decapoda; Penaeidae. The record is from RNAcentral.
CUAUUUAAUCGGCGGGUGUCAGGACUUUGGCACCAGUGUGACCUGUCUCUCCGAGCUAUUGGCAUCUUCCGGAGUUCCAUCGGCGCCAAGGAAGGUCUCGUAGUCAGUCGUCGCGUAGUCAUCUCGUAGUCAUCGAAGUCAGAGAUCAACAUGCGGGCGUGUGCGGGCUUACUCUUGCUCCUUGUGGUGUGGGCGGACGCUAAGAAGAGGUUUUCGCUGCCUCUAGCCGAAGGGGCAGUGUCUCAAGAUCAACUCAAUGACUCCAACUUGCCCAAACUACCGCUGGGAAAUCCUGACACGAUGGACAACGAUAUACCCGGAGAACCUCUAAGUCCUGAUGACUUCAUGGAAGGACUUGCCAUGGGUACGUGACCCUUCGAAAUGGUUCAUGACUUCUGAUUAUGGUUCAACUCUCUCCC